GGAAUAUUGGACAAUGGGCGCAAGCCUGAUCCAGCCAUGCCGCGUGAGUGAAGAAGGCCUUAGGGUUGUAAAGCUCUUUCAGCGGGGAAGAUAAUGACGGUACCCGCCGAAGAAGCCCCGGCUAACCUCGUUCCAGCAGCCGCGGUAAUACGAAGGGGGCUAGCGUUGUUCGGAUUUACUGGGCGUAAAGCGCGCGUAGGCGGGUCGUUAAGUCAGAGGUGAAAUGCCGAGGCUCAACCUCGGAACUGCCUUUGAUACUGGCGACCUGGAGUUCGGGAGAGGUGAGUGGAAUUCCGAGUGUAGAGGUGAAAUUCGUAGAUAUUCGGAGGAACACCAGUGGCGAAGGCGGCUCACUGGCUCGAUACUGACGCUGAGGUGCGAAAGCGUGGGGAGCAAAC
RNAcentral lists this ribosomal RNA (398 nucleotides) under uncultured bacterium. RNAcentral's name for it is "bacterial SSU rRNA". It matches the Rfam family "Bacterial small subunit ribosomal RNA", at positions 358 to 773 of the family's 1533-position model. The record is from RNAcentral.